RNAcentral lists this transfer RNA (91 nucleotides) under Chloroflexota bacterium. RNAcentral's name for it is "Chloroflexi bacterium (groundwater metagenome) tRNA-Ser". It matches the Rfam family "tRNA". From Rfam's summary of the family: Transfer RNA (tRNA) molecules are approximately 80 nucleotides in length. The record is from RNAcentral. Lineage: Bacteria; Bacillati; Chloroflexota.
GGAGCGGUGCUGGAGUGGCCGAACAGGCACGUCUGGAAAGCGUGUAGGGGUUAACCGCCCCUCGUGGGUUCGAAUCCCACCCGCUCCGCCA